Molecule: small RNA, 93 nt
Filed under: Salmonella enterica
Lineage: Bacteria; Pseudomonadati; Pseudomonadota; Gammaproteobacteria; Enterobacterales; Enterobacteriaceae
Description: partial RtT sRNA
Rfam family: RtT RNA
About the family: This family represents a bacterial cis-regulatory element known as RtT RNA.
Source: RNAcentral
UGUAUCUGGAGCCAGCGAGGAUGAGAACCUCCGGGGGCGGGAGGUUCGACCCGAGCGAAGCGAGAGAACGUUGCGCGAGCAACGGCCCGCAGG